ACGGGAGGCAGCAGUGGGGAAUAUUGGGCAAUGGGCGCAAGCCUGACCCAGCAACGCCGCGUGAAGGAAGAAGGCUUUCGGGUUGUAAACUUCUUUUAAGGGGGAAGAGCAGAAGACUGUACCCCUAGAAUAAGCCACGGCUAACUACGUGCCAGCAGCCGCGGUAAUACGUAGGUGGCAAGCGUUGUCCGGAUUUACUGGUGUAAAGGGCGUGUAGCCGGGGAGGCAAGUCAGAUGUGAGAUCCACGGGCUUAACUCGUGAACUGCAUUUGAAACUGUUGGUCUUGAGUAUCGGAGAGGCAAUCGGAAUUCCUAGUGUAGCGGUGAAAUGCGUAGAUAUUAGGAGGAACACCAGUGGCGAAGGCGGAUUGCUGGACGACAACUGACGGUGAGGCGCGAAAGCGUGGGGAGCAAACAGGAUUAGAUACCCUGGUA
Molecule: ribosomal RNA, 435 nt
Filed under: uncultured Oscillibacter sp.
Lineage: Bacteria; Bacillati; Bacillota; Clostridia; Eubacteriales; Oscillospiraceae
Description: bacterial SSU rRNA
Rfam family: Bacterial small subunit ribosomal RNA
Source: RNAcentral